Molecule: ribosomal RNA, 479 nt
Filed under: uncultured organism
Description: partial 16S ribosomal RNA
Rfam family: Bacterial small subunit ribosomal RNA
Source: RNAcentral
UACACUCCUACGGGAGGCAGCAGUGGGGAAUUUUGGACAAUGGGCGAAAGCCUGAUCCAGCAAUGCCGCGUGCAGGAUGAAGGCCUUCGGGUUGUAAACUGCUUUUGUACGGAACGAAAAAGCUCCUUCUAAUACAGGGGGCCCAUGACGGUACCGUAAGAAUAAGCACCGGCUAACUACGUGCCAGCAGCCGCGGUAAUACGUAGGGUGCGAGCGUUAAUCGGAAUUACUGGGCGUAAAGCGUGCGCAGGCGGUUAUGUAAGACAGAUGUGAAAUCCCCGGGCUCAACCUGGGAACUGCAUUUGUGACUGCAUGGCUAGAGUAUGGUAGAGGGGGAUGGAAUUCCGCGUGUAGCAGUGAAAUGCGUAGAUAUGCGGAGGAACACCGAUGGCGAAGGCAAUCCCCUGGACCUGUACUGACGCUCAUGCACGAAAGCGUGGGGAGCAAACAGGAUUAGAAACCCCUGUAGGUCCCAUGAU